UACGAAGGGGGCUAACGUUGCUCGGAAUCACUGGGCGUAAAGCGCACGUAGGCGGAUUGUUAAGUCAGGGGUGAAAUCCUGGAGCUCAACUCCAGAACUGCCUUUGAUACUGGCGAUCUUGAGUCCGGGAGAGGUGAGUGGAACUGCGAGUGUAGAGGUGAAAUUCGUAGAUAUUCGCAAGAACACCAGUGGCGAAGGCGGCUCACUGGCCCGGUACUGACGCUGAGGUGCGAAAGCGUGGGGAGCAAACAGG
RNAcentral lists this ribosomal RNA (253 nucleotides) under uncultured bacterium. RNAcentral describes it as "partial 16S ribosomal RNA". It matches the Rfam family "Bacterial small subunit ribosomal RNA", at positions 524 to 776 of the family's 1533-position model. The record is from RNAcentral.